UACGUAGGGGGCGAGCGUUGUCCGGAUUUAUUGGGCGUAAAGAGCGUGUAGGCGGCCAGGUAGGUCUGCUGUGAAAACUCGAGGCUCAACCUCGAGACGUCGGCGGAAACCAUCUGGCUAGAGUCCGGAAGAGGAGAGUGGAAUUCCUGGUGUAGCGGUGAAAUGCGUAGAUAUCUGGAGGAACACCGGUGGCGAAGGCGGCAUCCUGGACCGACACUGACGCUGAGGAGCGAAAGCCAGGGGAGCAAACGGG
Molecule: ribosomal RNA, 253 nt
Filed under: uncultured bacterium
Lineage: Bacteria
Description: partial 16S ribosomal RNA
Rfam family: Bacterial small subunit ribosomal RNA
Source: RNAcentral